GAGAAAGUUCAUUUGUAACUUUCCUCUCUCUCUCUCUCUCUUCAAGAAUAAACUUUGCACCGUUCCGGUCAUCUUCCUCAUCUAACCUCACUGGAGAGGGGCGGUGGUGCCACCGUCCUCUUUGGUGGCCAACCACAACCAACCACAAAAACCUAAACAUAAACCCCCUUCCUCUUUUUACCUCAUUUUUUUCAAAUCUGACUUCUAUUUCACCUAAAUCCAAGCCAAACGACGGGAUCAGACCACCCAAAACCCUAAUCUCACAAAACUCAAACCAUCCAUAAUUCAUUCAAAAAUCAACAACCAUCAACGAUUCAAACAUCAAACAGAGCAGCGAGUACGAAAUAACAUAAAAUAUUUCAAGCAAGUUGAAGUCAAUAAUAACACACAAGUCCAAGAGUCAAUGGUUUAAGGCAAAGCUAAGUGUUCAACAGUCAUGUCAGACGCUAUGGAAUUUAAAGAAGGAAAGAGGACUACCGAACCUUUUCAGGUGAGGAUGAAUCAUGGAGCACAUGAAGUGAGGAAGAUGGCACGAUGGAUGAAAGAUUUUAGUCACACUUGCACUUUAGUUUUUUUUCUUUUUGAAAGGAAAUUAAAUGUACCAUGAACUUUGGUGUACUACUUUAUUUCAAGAUCAAAAUGUACUAUUUUUAAAAUUUAUAGAAAUGCAUAUUUCUACC
Lathyrus oleraceus (garden pea) is the source of this 680-nucleotide long non-coding RNA. RefSeq lists it as uncharacterized. NCBI's taxonomy places the organism in Eukaryota, Viridiplantae, Streptophyta, Magnoliopsida, Fabales, Fabaceae. The record is from RefSeq and is a predicted model, not a curated record. The transcript has 2 exons.